CCAGACUCCUACGGGAGGCAGCAGUGGGGAAUAUUGCACAAUGGGGGAAACCCUGAUGCAGCGACGCCGCGUGAGUGAAGAAGUAAUUCGUUAUGUAAAGCUCUAUCAGCAGGGAAGAAAAUGACGGCACCUGAGUAAGAAGCCCCGGCUAACUACGUGCCAGCAGCCGCGGUAAUACGUAGGUGGCAAGCGUUGUCCGGAUUUACUGGGUGUAAAGGGCGUGUAGCCGGGCCGGCAAGUCAGAUGUGAAAUCCCAAGGCUCAACCUUGGAACUGCAUUUGAAACUGUCGUUCUUGAGUACUGGAGAGGUUGACGGAAUUCCUAGUGUAGCGGUGAAAUGCGUAGAUAUUAGGAGGAACACCGGUGGCGAAGGCGGUCAACUGGACAGCAACUGACGCUGAGGCGCGAAAGCGUGGGGAGCAAACAGGAUUAGAUACCCCUGUACC
Molecule: ribosomal RNA, 446 nt
Filed under: uncultured bacterium
Lineage: Bacteria
Description: partial 16S ribosomal RNA
Rfam family: Bacterial small subunit ribosomal RNA
Source: RNAcentral